GUUGUUGGGUAGGGGAGCGUUCUGUAAGCCUGCGAAGGUGUACUGUGAGGUAUGCUGGAGGUAUCAGAAGUGCGAAUGCUGACAUAAGUAACGAUAAAGCGGGUGAAAAGCCCGCUCGCCGGAAGACCAAGGGUUCCUGUCCAACGUUAAUCGGGGCAGGGUGAGUCGACCCCUAAGGCGAGGCCGAAAGGCGUAGUCGAUGGGAAACAGGUUAAUAUUCCUGUACUUGGUGUUACUGCGAAGGGGGGACGGAGAAGGCUAUGUUGGCCGGGCGACGGUUGUCCCGGUUUAAGCGUGUAGGCUGGUUUUCCAGGCAAAUCCGGAAAAUCAAGGCUGAGGCGUGAUGACGAGGCACUACGGUGCUGAAGCAACAAAUGCCCUGCUUCCAGGAAAAGCCUCUAAGCAUCAGGUAACAUCAAAUCGUACCCCAAACCGACACAGGUGGUCAGGUAGAGAAUACCAAGGCGCUUGAGAGAACUCGGGUGAAGGAACUAGGCAAAAUGGUGCCGUAACUUCGGGAGAAGGCACGCUGAUAUGUAGGUGAAG
Molecule: ribosomal RNA, 546 nt
Filed under: Escherichia coli
Lineage: Bacteria; Pseudomonadati; Pseudomonadota; Gammaproteobacteria; Enterobacterales; Enterobacteriaceae
Description: partial 23S ribosomal RNA
Rfam family: Bacterial large subunit ribosomal RNA
Source: RNAcentral